RNAcentral lists this ribosomal RNA (253 nucleotides) under uncultured bacterium. RNAcentral describes it as "partial 16S ribosomal RNA". It matches the Rfam family "Bacterial small subunit ribosomal RNA", at positions 524 to 776 of the family's 1533-position model. The record is from RNAcentral.
UACGGAGGUCCCAAGCGUUGUUUGGAUUCACUGGGCGUAAAGGGUGCGUAGGUGGUGAGGUAAGUCGGAUGUGAAAGCUCGGAGCUCAACUCCGAAAUGGCAUUGGAAACUACCUUGCUCGAGGGUUGGAGGGGGGACUGGAAUGCUUGGUGUAGCAGUGAAAUGCGUAGAUAUCAAGCGGAACACCAGUGGCGAAGGCGAGUCCCUGGACAACUCCUGACACUGAGGCACGAAAGCUAGGGGAGCAAACAGG